This is a non-coding RNA of Angiostrongylus cantonensis (rat lungworm), 74 nucleotides long. The record is from Rfam. NCBI's taxonomy places the organism in Eukaryota, Metazoa, Nematoda, Chromadorea, Rhabditida, Metastrongylidae.
GCCGCCAUAGCUCAGUCGGUUAGAUCGUGGGUCUAAUAAGCCCAAUGUCGCAGGUUCGACCCCUACUGAAUGCA